GCCAGCGAUUGGCAACUACAUCCUCCGGUGUUUCAGAUGCUGGACUUCCUUCGAGGUUCCCUCCACCUGGAUCUGUUCGCAUCCAGGGCGAAUUGCCAGACAGAUUUAUUCUUUAGUUGGCUCCCGGAUCCCCUCAGCGAAGCAGUGGACGCAUUCCUCCAGGAAUGGCCUCCCUCGGGAGUGUAUGCGUUUCCACACCUUCUCCAUGAUUAUCCGGACGUUAAAUUGGAGCAAGCUUCUGAGGAUGUCGCCUCUCCUAAUCGUGUUGCUUUGGAGGAGUCGUGGUGGAGUUGUCGUGCAAAGACCCACUACUUCUGCCUGUCUCCAAGUUUCUCCUUCGGGAUCCAGCAGGGAAUCCACAUCUGAUGGUAUUAGAGGGCUGUCUGUCGCUGGUGGCCUGGACCGUUUCCAGGGUUCCCGGGAUGUGUCAGGCCUAUCGACAGUGGCUAGAUAGUUACCAGACGAGCGUAUCUACAC
This is a non-coding RNA of Pelobates cultripes (western spadefoot toad), 477 nucleotides long. Lineage: Eukaryota; Metazoa; Chordata; Amphibia; Anura; Pelobatidae. The record is from the annotation of a GenBank genome assembly.